Molecule: long non-coding RNA, 296 nt
Organism: Acanthopagrus latus (yellowfin seabream)
Lineage: Eukaryota; Metazoa; Chordata; Actinopteri; Spariformes; Sparidae
Exons: 3
Source: RefSeq, a predicted model, not a curated record
AACCAAGCAAUAUUUAACAUCAUGCAUUGCACUGCGAACAAACGCAUGGAGGUCGCGGAGAGGGCGCCGAUCUCCACCAUUUCAAGUUCCAACUUCGCGAAACUUCUUCACCUGCUGAGUAAGGAGCAUCAGACGGUGAGAGCUGCCAGCAUUGUGUUAAAGCCUGAUAGGGAAGGAAACCACUUAAUGUGUUAAUCAUCAACCCGCUGCAAAGACGAGCAAAAUAUUUGUGGUAAGUUUAGUGUGUGUUGGAAAAAGCCAAAAGACGACCAUUGGUCUUCAAGCACCUGAAUAAA